GGACUACAAGGGUAUCUAAUCCUGUUUGCUCCCCUAGCUUUCGCACCUCAGCGUCAGGAACGCGCCAGUCGCUCGCUUUCGCCUCCGGCGUUCCUCCUGAUAUCUACGCAUUUCACCGCUUCACCAGGAGUUCCAGCGACCCCUCACGCCCUCUAGCCCGGUAUUUUCAGCCGCCGUUCCGCCGGUAAGCGACGGGAUUCCACGACUGAUUUGCCGAGCCGCCUACGUGCCCUUUACGCCCAGUGAAUCCGAACAACGUUUGCACUCUCCGUAUUACCGCGGCGGCUGGCAC
This 292-nucleotide ribosomal RNA is filed under the name uncultured bacterium. RNAcentral's name for it is "partial 16S ribosomal RNA". The record is from RNAcentral. RNAcentral also lists the same sequence under 1 other name.